GAGGAACACCGAUGGCGAAAGCAGCUUCUUGGUCCAAUCCUGACGUUGAGGCACGAAAGCGUGGGUAGCAAACAGGAUUAGAUACCCUGGUAGUCCACGCCGUAAACGAUGAUCACUAAACGUUAGCUUUGCUUUGCAAAGUUAGUGUCCGUCAGCUAACGCAUUAAGUGAUCCGCCUGGGGAUUACGGUCGCAAGACUAAAACUUAAAGGAAUUGACGGGGGUCCGCACAAGCGGUGGAACAUGUGGUUUAAUUCGACACUACGCGAGGAACCUUACCUAGGCUUGACAUGCUUCUGACAGCCGUAGAAAUACGGUCUUCUGAACUUUGUUCAGACAGUUGCACAGGUGCUGCAUGGCUGUCGUCAGCUCGUGUCGUGAGAUGUCUGGUUGAGUCCUCUAACGAGCGCAACUCUCUACUAUCAGUUGCUACUUCUUCGGAAGGCACUCUGAUGGAACUGCCUGGGAAACCAGGAGGAAGGUGGGAAUGACGUCAAGUCAUCAUGGUCCUUAUGUUCUAGGGCGACACACGUGUUACAAUGGCCAGUACAAAGA
RNAcentral lists this ribosomal RNA (554 nucleotides) under uncultured Candidatus Babelota bacterium. RNAcentral's name for it is "bacterial SSU rRNA". It matches the Rfam family "Bacterial small subunit ribosomal RNA", at positions 701 to 1245 of the family's 1533-position model. The record is from RNAcentral.